RNAcentral lists this ribosomal RNA (792 nucleotides) under uncultured bacterium. RNAcentral describes it as "bacterial SSU rRNA". It matches the Rfam family "Bacterial small subunit ribosomal RNA", at positions 62 to 845 of the family's 1533-position model. The record is from RNAcentral.
UCGAGCGGAACGAUGCCUAGCUUGCUAGGAGGCGUCGAGCGGCGGACGGGUGAGUAAUGCAUAGGAAUCUGCCCGGUAGUGGGGGAUAACCUGGGGAAACCCAGGCUAAUACCGCAUACGCCCUACGGGGGAAAGCAGGGGAUCUUCGGACCUUGCGCUAUCGGAUGAGCCUAUGUCGGAUUAGCUAGUUGGUGAGGUAACGGCUCACCAAGGCUGCGAUCCGUAGCUGGUCUGAGAGGAUGAUCAGCCACAUCGGGACUGAGACACGGCCCGAACUCCUACGGGAGGCAGCAGUGGGGAAUAUUGGACAAUGGGCGAAAGCCUGAUCCAGCCAUGCCGCGUGUGUGAAGAAGGCCUUCGGGUUGUAAAGCACUUUCAGUGAGGAAGAAAGCCUUGAGGUUAAUACCCUCGAGGGAGGACAUCACUCACAGAAGAAGCACCGGCUAACUCCGUGCCAGCAGCCGCGGUAAUACGGAGGGUGCGAGCGUUAAUCGGAAUUACUGGGCGUAAAGCGCGCGUAGGCGGCUUGAUAAGCCGGUUGUGAAAGCCCCGGGCUCAACCUGGGAACGGCAUCCGGAACUGUCAGGCUAGAGUGCAGGAGAGGAAGGUAGAAUUCCCGGUGUAGCGGUGAAAUGCGUACAGAUCGGGAGGAAUACCAGUGGCGAAGGCGGCCUUCUGGACUGACACUGACGCUGAGGUGCGAAAGCGUGGGUAGCAAACAGGAUUAGAUACCCUGGUAGUCCACGCCGUAAACGAUGUCGACUAGCCGUUGGGCUCCUUGAGAGCUUUGUG